Molecule: ribosomal RNA, 253 nt
Filed under: uncultured bacterium
Lineage: Bacteria
Description: partial 16S ribosomal RNA
Rfam family: Bacterial small subunit ribosomal RNA
Source: RNAcentral
UACGGAGGGUGCAAGCGUUAUCCGGAUUCACUGGGUUUAAAGGGUGCGUAGGUGGGCAGGUAAGUCAGUGGUGAAAUCUCUGGGCUUAACCCGGAAACUGCCGUUGAUACUAUCUGUCUUGAAUGUAGUGGAGGUGAGCGGAAUAUGUCAUGUAGCGGUGAAAUGCUUAGAUAUGACAUAGAACACCCAUUGCGAAGGCAGCUCGCUACGCUAUUAUUGACACUGAGGCACGAAAGCGUGGGGAGCAAACAGG